RNAcentral lists this ribosomal RNA (551 nucleotides) under uncultured Actinomycetes bacterium. RNAcentral's name for it is "bacterial SSU rRNA". It matches the Rfam family "Bacterial small subunit ribosomal RNA", at positions 257 to 820 of the family's 1533-position model. The record is from RNAcentral. Lineage: Bacteria; Bacillati; Actinomycetota; Actinomycetes.
GUAAUGGCCUACCAAGGCGACGACGGGUAGCCGACCUGAGAGGGUGACCGGCCACACUGGGACUGAGACACGGCCCAGACUCCUACGGGAGGCAGCAGUGGGGAAUAUUGCACAAUGGGCGGAAGCCUGAUGCAGCGACGCCGCGUGAGGGAUGAAGGCCUUCGGGUUGUAAACCUCUUUCAGCAGGGACGAAGCGUGAGUGACGGUACCUGCAGAAGAAGCACCGGCUAACUACGUGCCAGCAGCCGCGGUAAUACGUAGGGUGCGAGCGUUGUCCGGAAUUACUGGGCGUAAAGAGUUCGUAGGCGGUUUGUCGCGUCGUUUGUGAAAACCCGGGGCUCAACUUCGGGCUUGCAGGCGAUACGGGCAGACUUGAGUGUUUCAGGGGAGACUGGAAUUCCUGGUGUAGCGGUGAAAUGCGCAGAUAUCAGGAGGAACACCGGUGGCGAAGGCGGGUCUCUGGGAAACAACUGACGCUGAGGAACGAAAGCGUGGGUAGCAAACAGGAUUAGAUACCCUGGUAGUCCACGCCGUAAACGGUGGGCGCUAGG